Long non-coding RNA from Dermacentor silvarum, 1394 nucleotides. RefSeq lists it as uncharacterized. The record is from RefSeq and is a predicted model, not a curated record. Lineage: Eukaryota; Metazoa; Arthropoda; Arachnida; Ixodida; Ixodidae. The transcript has 8 exons.
UGCCAGGUCGGUGCGAUGUCGCAGGAUGCCCGAACGGUCCGCGUCGUCUGAACAAGGGUACUAAAAGCUCCGACAGCAAUGUGAACUACCACACGGUGCCGCCUGACGAACCUCGACGUUCCCGCUGGUUCAAUUCUGUUCCCAUGCUACAGCGGGAAGGAAAGGAGCCGAUGAGACGACAUGUGUGCUCUCUGCAUUUCCACCCUGAGGAUUACGAGCAUAAUUAUCUCUUAAGGCAAUCAGUGGAAGUGCCUUUCCAUGUGCGACUUCGUCGCAACGCUGUUCCGUCGAUAUGUCCUUCAUCCCACGAAGAACUUCAGACCUCUUCAUUCCACCUGAAACCAAUAGAAAUCAGUAGCGAAACCUUCACCUGGGAAGCACCGCUGCUGCAAGUCGAAUGUGUCGUGGCUCUUUCCCCUGACGCCAAAAACGCGGAGACGCAGACGGAUUUCCUGCAGAGCCCCGCAGAAAGAAUCGGUUAUGGUUACCGCAGCGUCGGAAAUGCGAAAGGAGUGCAGGCUAAACCCUUAUUGGGCCCGAGCGUUGGAAUCCAGGUGAACACAACAAUAAAGUUAAUGAGAUCUACGGCACUUCAAGUGAACACUUUAAAAACUAUAAAACCAAUUAGGCGACUGUGCCGUACUUAUGUCAGCUAGGCAACCAGUCAUGCACCGGAGAAGUAGGCCAAUAAAGGAGCUCAGCCACGCUCCCUCACCUGGUGCAUCUCCAGUACUGCGAGAACCUCACAGGCAUGACGCAACGUACAAGCAGGAAUUUCACUUGCACCCCAGAUGUGACCUUUGACGAAUCACAAGCUAUACCGAAAUGGGAAUUUCCACUGGGAGAAGUCGAUGCAGUGAUGUCACUUGGAUGAAGGCGACAGUGGAUGUUUGUCGAAGGAAGAAUGCUGAGGAGAGGUGUAUGCUCAAAGAAGUACAGCACAAAAGACAGUGAUGAACAAGUCUGCUGCCCCUGGGGGAGGAAAGUGCAAAGUGCAUGUGUGAGACACGGAAUACUCAAUCACAUGGCAUCUUUGGAAAGCUCCGUAGAAAACCAUCCACUGACCUGAAGUGCCACAGCUGGGAAUCGAACCCAUAACCUCGUUCUCAACACCUCAACACCAUAUAGCCACUGCAGAUAGGCAAGGGGCCAACCUUCCUGCAUUCCUACUGGUACAGGCUGCACACACUCCAUUUCAACCUCCCAUUUCAAGUCAACGAUGAUCAAAGGAUUGUCACUCUCGGCCUAAGCUCGGAGCGAAUGAGCCGCACAUUCUUGUUAUCCAAGGAAGGUAUGGAAACAGCCCGAUACAGUUGUCAUAACUGACACGACACUCUGCAACACAAGCAAGCCUGUAGAAAUUGGUACGCUACAAUAAAGUGUGACUCUUGCCU